AACUCUGGGCGGUGGAUCACUCGGCUCGUGAGUCGAUGAGAAGAGCGCAGCCAGCUGCGUGAAUUAAUGUGAAUUGCAGGACACAUGAGCAUCGAUACCUUGAACGCACAUUGCGGCCUCGGGUCAGUCCCGGGGGCCACGCCUGACUGAGGGUCG
Molecule: ribosomal RNA, 156 nt
Filed under: Gigantopelta aegis
Lineage: Eukaryota; Metazoa; Mollusca; Gastropoda; Neomphalida; Peltospiridae
Description: 5.8S ribosomal RNA
Rfam family: 5.8S ribosomal RNA
About the family: 5.8S ribosomal RNA (5.8S rRNA) is a component of the large subunit of the eukaryotic ribosome. It is transcribed by RNA polymerase I as part of the 45S precursor that also contains 18S and 28S rRNA. Functionally, it is thought that 5.8S rRNA may be involved in ribosome translocation.
Source: RNAcentral